CAUUAUGUAAUGAUAAAUAACAAACACUGAUAUAGUAAAAAACACACUAUUUUACAAUAAACAGUAUACUGAGCUUAAAAAUUAAUCUGACUAUAAUGCCUGUGCAACGAACAAAUAGGGACUGAUAAUUUGUUUGCCAGUUUCUCUCUCUCAAUUAGUUAUGAUGUGAAAAUUUCAUAUGGAUGGCACGACAUUUACGGAAUUUCGGACUAGAGACACUCAACUGUAUAUCUACAUAUUUUUAACAAAAAAAAUUGAAAGAAUCAGAUCAGUAAGAUACUUUUUAUUAGGAAUAAAUAUGGCAGAUCACUUGGAUGGAGUAAAAGUGCAGUGGGAAUGUGAUACAACUGAGUUAGUUAAUCUUACUCUCUUUGGGAAGCUAGUUAUUCUUAUUCUCUUUUUCAGUUUUUCAGAGAUCUUCGUAUAAGGUAACCAUCUUCAAAAUUCUUAUUUUAGGAAAAAUUUCUUAUUUUAUAUACGGG
RNAcentral lists this long non-coding RNA (482 nucleotides) under Androctonus crassicauda. The record is from RNAcentral. Lineage: Eukaryota; Metazoa; Arthropoda; Arachnida; Scorpiones; Buthidae.